RNAcentral lists this ribosomal RNA (248 nucleotides) under uncultured bacterium. RNAcentral's name for it is "partial 16S ribosomal RNA". It matches the Rfam family "Bacterial small subunit ribosomal RNA", at positions 524 to 771 of the family's 1533-position model. The record is from RNAcentral.
UACGUAGGGUGCAAGCGUUGUCCGGAAUUAUUGGGCGUAAAGAGCUCGUAGGCGGCCUGUUGCGUCUGCUGUGAAAUCCCGGGGCUUAACCCCGGGCGUGCAGUGGAUACGGGCAGGCUGGAGGCAGGCAGGGGAGAACGGAAUUCCCGGUGUAGCGGUGAAAUGCGCAGAUAUCGGGAGGAACACCGGUGGCGAAGGCGGUUCUCUGGGCCGAUACUGACGCUGAGGAGCGAAAGCGUGGGGAGCGA